AUGGGCGCAAGCCUGAUGCAGCCAUGCCGCGUGUAUGAAGAAGGCCUUCGGGUUGUAAAGUACUUUCAGCAGUGAGGAAGGUGGAUGUGUUAAUAGCGCAUUCAUUUGACGUUAGCUGCAGAAGAAGCACCGGCUAACUCCGUGCCAGCAGCCGCGGUAAUACGGAGGGUGCGAGCGUUAAUCGGAAUUACUGGGCGUAAAGCGCAUGCAGGUGGAUGAUUAAGUCAGAUGUGAAAGCCCGGGGCUCAACCUCGGAAUAGCAUUUGAAACUGGUCAUCUAGAGUACUGUAGAGGGGGGUAGAAUUUCAGGUGUAGCGGUGAAAUGCGUAGAGAUCUGAAGGAAUACCAGUGGCGAAGGCGGCCCCCUGGACAGAUACUGACACUCAGAUGCGAAAGCGUGGGGAGCAAACAGGAUUAGAUACCCUGGUAGUCCACGCCGUAAACGAUGUCUACUUGGAGGUUGUGGCCUUGAGCCGUGGCUUUCGGAGCUAACGCGUUAAGUAGACCGCCUGGGGAGUACGGUCGCAAGAUUAAAACUCAAAUGAAUUGACGGGGGCCCGCACAAGCGGUGGAGCAUGUGGUUUAAUUCGAUGCAACGCGAAGAACCUUACCUACUCUUGACAUCCAGAGAAGCCAGCGGAGACGCAGGUGUGCCUUCGGGAGCUCUGAGACAGGUGCUGCAUGGCUGUCGUCAGCUCGUG
This 701-nucleotide ribosomal RNA is filed under the name Vibrio sp. MED535. RNAcentral's name for it is "bacterial SSU rRNA". It matches the Rfam family "Bacterial small subunit ribosomal RNA", at positions 371 to 1064 of the family's 1533-position model. The record is from RNAcentral. Lineage: Bacteria; Pseudomonadati; Pseudomonadota; Gammaproteobacteria; Vibrionales; Vibrionaceae.